RNAcentral lists this ribosomal RNA (466 nucleotides) under uncultured bacterium. RNAcentral's name for it is "partial 16S ribosomal RNA". It matches the Rfam family "Bacterial small subunit ribosomal RNA", at positions 28 to 507 of the family's 1533-position model. The record is from RNAcentral.
GACGAACGCUGGCGGUGUGCUUAACACAUGCAAGUCGAACGGUAAGGCCCUUUCGGGGGUACACGAGUGGCGAACGGGUGAGUAACACGUGAGUAACCUGCCCUCAUCUCUGGGAUAACAGUCGGAAACGGUUGCUAAUACUGGAUAUGAGCUUGCAAGGCAUCUUGUGGGUUGGAAAGAUUUUUUUGGUUGGGGAUGGACUCGCGGCCUAUCAGCUUGUUGGUGAGGUAGUGGCUCACCAAGGCUUCGACGGGUAGCCGGCCUGAGAGGGCGACCGGCCACAUUGGGACUGAGAUACGGCCCAAACUCCUACGGGAGGCAGCAGUGGGGAAUAUUGCACAAUGGACGGAAGUCUGAUGCAGCAACGCCGCGUGCGGGAUGACGGCCUUCGGGCUGUAAACCGCUUUCAAUUGUGACGAAGCUUUUUGUGACGGUAGCAGUAGAAGAAGCACCGGCUAACUACGUG